Non-coding RNA from Angiostrongylus costaricensis, 72 nucleotides. Lineage: Eukaryota; Metazoa; Nematoda; Chromadorea; Rhabditida; Metastrongylidae. The record is from Rfam.
GGUCCCGUAGCGUAGCGGUGAACACACUGGACAUUGAAUCCAGUAACCCGAGUUCGAAUCUCGCCGGGACCU